Molecule: small nucleolar RNA, 67 nt
Filed under: Ipomoea nil (Japanese morning glory)
Lineage: Eukaryota; Viridiplantae; Streptophyta; Magnoliopsida; Solanales; Convolvulaceae
Source: RNAcentral
UUUGCCUAUGAUGGUGUUAAAUAUACUUUGAGUAUCUCACUCUGAAAACAAUCUAAAUCUGAGGUGU